UACGGGAGGCAGCAGUGGGGAAUAUUGCACAAUGGGCGCAAGCCUGAUGCAGCCAUGCCGCAUGUAUGAAGAAGGCCUUCGGGUUGUAAAGUACUUUCAGUCGUGAGGAAGGUGUUAAGGUUAAUAACCUUAGCAAUUGACGUUAGCGACAGAAGAAGCACCGGCUAACUCCGUGCCAGCAGCCGCGGUAAUACGGAGGGUGCGAGCGUUAAUCGGAAUUACUGGGCGUAAAGGGCACGCAGGCGGUUAAUUAAGUUGGAUGUGAAAUCCCCGGGCUUAACCUGGGAAUGGCAUUCAAGACUGGUUAGCUAGAGUCUUGUAGAGGGGGUAGAAUUCCAUGUGUAGCGGUGAAAUGCGUAGAGAUGUGGAGGAAUACCGGUGGCGAAGGCGGCCCCUGGACAAAGACUGACGCUCAUGUGCGAAAGCGUGGGGAGCGAAACAGGGAUUAGAUACC
Molecule: ribosomal RNA, 454 nt
Filed under: uncultured bacterium
Lineage: Bacteria
Description: bacterial SSU rRNA
Rfam family: Bacterial small subunit ribosomal RNA
Source: RNAcentral